Molecule: long non-coding RNA, 650 nt
Organism: Equus caballus (horse)
Lineage: Eukaryota; Metazoa; Chordata; Mammalia; Perissodactyla; Equidae
Source: RefSeq, a predicted model, not a curated record
GCCGCCGCGUUCUGGGUGUUUUUUCUUUUUGGGAGGCCGGCCUGCUGCCAUGCAAACCUAUCCCCCGCCGCACCCCGCUGUAGCCUCGCCGCCUCCAACCCUGCCCUCGCCGGGGCUGCCUCCCGAGGCUGCGGGAUGCUGAGCGUCACACGGGGAGCCGGGCCUGCCAGCCUGCUGGGGCCGAGGUGCGGGAUCCACGUCGGCCACAUGCGCAGUGAGAGUGGCCAGAACCCGUCAGGGUGACGCCCUUCUCCCGCCUUGGCCUGCGCGGCCCUGCGCCCCGGUGACGGCUGUGCCAGAUGGAGACUGCAGGAUGACUGAAGUUGCUUUCUGGUGAGUGAGGACUCGGGUCUUGACAGCGAUGGAGCACAGCAGCCUCAGGACCAGGUUGCUUCAAGUUUCCUGGCGGUAUCUGAUAAUGAAGAAUCUGAGGAUGCCAGCUUGCUGCUAUUGCUGUGCUUUAGAAUAAGAGUGUUACCAGGAAGCUGUGUUCAUCUGUGAUUGUGGAUCCAGAGAACUGGGAGAGAAGUGGUACAAGAAGAGGCAAGCUAAGACAACAGGUUAUUUUAGGUGGGAAUGGUGACUUUUUUUUUUUGUUUGCUAAUGCUGGUACAUGGCAUCUAAAUGACCAAUAAAAGACUAUGAAAAUA